This 486-nucleotide ribosomal RNA is filed under the name uncultured bacterium. RNAcentral describes it as "bacterial SSU rRNA". It matches the Rfam family "Bacterial small subunit ribosomal RNA", at positions 30 to 509 of the family's 1533-position model. The record is from RNAcentral.
AUUGAACGCUGGCGGCAGGCCUAGCACAUGCAAGUCGAGCGGAUGAAGAGAGCUUGCUCUCUGAUUCAGCGGCGGACGGGUGAGUAAUGCCUAGGAAUCUGCCUGGUAGUGGGGGACAACGUUUCGAAAGGAACGCUAAUACCGCAUACGUCCUACGGGAGAAAGCAGGGGACCUUCGGGCCUUGCGCUAUCAGAUGAGCCUAGGUCGGAUUAGCUAGUUGGUGAGGUAAUGGCUCACCAAGGCGACGAUCCGUAACUGGUCUGAGAGGAUGAUCAGUCACACUGGAACUGAGACACGGUCCAGACUCCUACGGGAGGCAGCAGUGGGGAAUAUUGGACAAUGGGCGAAAGCCUGAUCCAGCCAUGCCGCGUGUGUGAAGAAGGUCUUCGGAUUGUAAAGCACUUUAAGUUGGGAGGAAGGGCAUUAACCUAAUACGUUAGUGUUUUGACGUUACCGACAGAAUAAGCACCGGCUAACUUCGUGCC